Molecule: long non-coding RNA, 835 nt
Organism: Poecilia latipinna (sailfin molly)
Lineage: Eukaryota; Metazoa; Chordata; Actinopteri; Cyprinodontiformes; Poeciliidae
Exons: 3
Source: RefSeq, a predicted model, not a curated record
GUAAUCGAGGUACUCGAAUCAUUCAAGGAAUCGUUUCAGCCCUAAAUAAAAGUGAGGAAAACAUUGCAGAAGUUGAUGUUUCUUUGCGAAGGUAGUAGCAUCGUGCGUUGCUUGCUAAGCCUUCCAGUCCCGGGGGCAUGGAAACGUUUCCUCCAUCUUUAAUCAGCUUCUUCCUCCUUCCAGAACCCUGCCGCCAUCCCAUCACUAUGACAAUGACUGCAGUGCAGCGUCUGCAGCUCCCAUCUACAGCACCGUGAAGCCCAAGGUCAAGCCGCUGACCUCGCCCCCCUCAGCCUCGCCCAUUUACGACAUUGCUGCCCCGACCAAUCAGAGGGAGGACCCUCACCUGGUGCCAGCAGAAGCAGAUCACGACUAUGAAGACAUUUCUUCUCCUGCCUCAGAUGUCAGCAGCUUCUUCACACCUGGAGGCAUCGGUUUUAACUGUCGCAUCCAGAAGCCGAAAGGACCCAGAGAUCCUCCAGCAGCCUGGGGGCGGAUGGAGAGGUGAAGUGGUUGAACUGGACCAGUUACCCAUCUGGAAUCACUCCAAACAGCCGUAGUGGUCACCAUUUACCCGACCGACAUCACUGUGAUUUGUUCAGUUACUGUAAUCUCCUCAACACUCUGAUACAUCUUUGUUUUAAAAUUAACCAAAGUGCUUCAAUUUUUUUCCUUAAUUUAACUGAAAUUAAGUCAAGUUUAACUAAACCUCCUAAAAUUUGAAUUUUAUCUAAUUUGUCUUGAUUAUCUGCAGAUUUUGUACCCAAGAGUUUUUGGGUCAUAAUUCACAAACUUUUCCGAUGUGGUUUCAGCUUCAAUAAAAACAGUAACAGCA